RNAcentral lists this unclassified non-coding RNA (3044 nucleotides) under Lucilia cuprina (Australian sheep blowfly). RNAcentral describes it as "locomotion-related protein Hikaru genki, transcript variant X5". Lineage: Eukaryota; Metazoa; Arthropoda; Insecta; Diptera; Calliphoridae. The record is from RNAcentral.
UAGAGGACCUCAGUUCGUUUUUGAACUUCGAACUCUUUAGACGGGUAAUACAGUUUAGCGGAAAUAAAAGUUAACUGAAAAAAAUCAUAAACAUUUUUUUGCAAAAAAACGAUAUAUUUUUAUUUUAAAUAAAAAAUGUUACUUCUGCAAGUUCCGUACAAUCAUCUGCAGCAUAUGCGCCACAAACCAAUGUGGACAUUUCUAUUUCUUCUAAUAAUUGUUGUUGUAUUCUUUGAUAAGACAUCGGCUAAUGCUGAAACUGAACAACCCCAAACUACUACCCCUGAACCAGAUGCAUCUCCGGGAUGCAAAGCUCCGGAUAUACGAUUCACCGUGAUUAAACCCGAGACAACCACCCAACAGCCUUAUGCUAAAUUUGAAACAACGCAAGUUUAUCCUCCAGACGAUUUAACAACCGGAGAUGUGGAAUAUGUUGAAAAGAUCAAUAUUGAUCUGACAGGACGUCAUAACGGCAAUCAAAUGGGCGGCAUUGUGAAUCCCUAUCAGGUCAAUAUCAAUGAUCAUCGUGCAGGCUACCAUGCUAAUGAUAUGGCUGCAGGUGAUGAACAAGACGAUGAGGACGACGAAGAUGACGACGAUGAAGAUGAAAAUGAGGAGUUCACUGAUGCUGACGGAGUAGCAAAGAAAAAAAGUAACCAAAACCGUAAAAUGAAUGACAAAAAUAGACGAUCUGGUUCGGGUAGAAGAAGGCGUAUUGAAAAUGAAAACGGCCAAACUCGUGGCAGAGGAAGUCGUUAUAAACGGCAAGUUAUACAUCACGAUCCCGAUGCAUCAGCAGACACCGACAAGUGGAGUGGUAGUAAAUUAGCCGCUGAAGGGGAUGUUUAUUACAUACAUAUUGACGAUAUUCUAAAAUCCCAGUCCCCCAACGAACAUCUAAAGCUUAAAUUGUAUAAAAUGAAGCAAAAAGUAAAGAAGCCCAAAAAGUCAAAUUGUACCGAACACCAUUGUAACAAACGUGAUCAAUCUUUGACGAAAAAGCGUACAGGACUCGAGGAAAAGCCAAAAUUUAAACAAUUUGCAAAAAAUCAUCGUAGACGUCGCGGCGAUAGCCAUGAACUAAAAGAUGUUAAAAAUUCUCAACAUCAAAGUCAGAAACCUAUACCAAAUAUUAAUCCGCGUAAAAGACGUGAUCUAGACAAUGAACCUCACGAGCGACAUCAUUACGAGAACGUUGGCAAUCAUUUGUCUGCCAAAACUAUUGAAAUGAACGAGUUCAAAGGCAAUGAAACCGUACCACCAUUGGAACAAACUACAGAGGUUGAGGAUGAUGCCCAAAUGUACUCAAAUAUGAGUCACAAUGAAGCAUUACAGCGCGUUAAGCGUAAAUCAGGCAAAACCACCGGCGCUCUUAGUCGUCCCAAGGGUGGUGGCGAAUCUAGUUCAAAGUCAACAAGUCGCAAAGAUAAAGGCAUUUUUGACGAAGAGGGCACCCAUUAUCCUGUACACACUGAUGAGGGGGAAUCAGAUGAAGAGGACGAAGAAGAAGAUGAAAUUGAUAUACAACAACAAUUUACGGAAGUUUCAGAAAUACGUUUCCCCGGAGAAAUAGGUCCAUUAGGUGACCGACGUCUAUGUAAAAUUCGAUGCAUUAAAGGCAAAUGGGUGGGCCCACUAUGUGCAACAAACGAGGAGGAUGAAAAUGGAAAUGUGAAAUUUCAACCGUUAUACAAAUCGUGCCACGUUCAAAGAAUACCGCCUUAUUUAUUGUUGAGUUAUCGAAACAUUUCAGUGAACCCCAUCACCCGUGCUCGUCGUUAUCGUACGGUUAAAUCGAAUUUAAUUUCAAAUACACAAAUUAAUGUGGGCUGGGACCUGCCUCAUGGACAUUCGCUGCAAGCUAGGUGUAAAGAUCUGGGUAUGUACAAACUGUUGGGAGAAUCGAGGGUAUUAUGUUCAAACGGAUUGUGGGCACCACGUAUGCCAUCGUGUGUACCGACAACUUUAUUGACGAAUUUUUCGGAUGACAGCGCCCCAUCCAUUAAAUAUAGAAUAAUCAAUGGUUCAGGAUCCUUUGAACCAUCAGGAAUACUGGCUGUUUUGCCAAAUAGUACCAUAUUGCUCGACUGUAUUUAUCCGCGAGCAAGAGGUAUUCCCGAUUGGAGUUGGACUAGUUGGUACAUGCAGUAUGAAACGGGAUGGUCCAAUGAGGAUAAAAAUUUUCGCUACCGCUUAACAAUUAAGUACAUGGGAAAUGGAGACUCGGGAACAUUUACUUGCACUUCACCGCGCGGACUAACGAAUAGUGUUGCUAUAAUCAUGGCCACAUCCACUUGCCCGCAGCUUCCAGAACCGGCGUUACCGCUCAGCUUACGAUUGGAAGGCGAUAAGCUUGGCCAGCGGGCAAUGUAUCGUUGCCCACCAGGCUUCCGAGUCGAUGGUAUUGCCAAUGCAACUUGUUUAGCUUCCGGUAAUUGGUCAUCGCCGCCACCAACUUGUCAAGCUGUACAAUGUCCACGUUUGAUUUUAGAUGAUCCUCACCUAAGCUUAGUCGAAUUGAAUACAUCUGCUUGGGGGCGGGCGGUGUUCAAAUGCCAGUGGGGCUUCAAAUUGACCGGUCCACCGGGUUUGGAAUGUGAUCCGACGGGCGUGUGGAGUGGUCCAGUCCCAAGAUGUAGAGCAAUUCAAUGCCCAACACCCAUUCCACCAUUAAAUGGUCGCAUAGGUGGCACUAACAUAAAUCAGCGGCGUCUUACAGUAGGCGCUUUAAUCACUUUCAGCUGCAACGAGGGCCAUACGCUAGUCGGUGAGCCUAGUAUCAUUUGCACAGAAAGUGGUUUGUGGUCACAUCCUCCACCAUUCUGUAAGUAGAAUUAAAAACAUAUUCAUACAUAUAUGUAUGUGUAUGUAAAUACAUAUACAACAGCAACAACUGUAUGCACACCAAUCCCUCAGUGAAUGGGUAAAUCACAAUGCCCAUAUCCUGGUGAUCCACCUAAUGGCUUAUUAGCGCCGUUGAAAUUUAACUAUGACUCUGGUGAUUACAUUAGUGUACAGUGUAGGCCCGGGUACGUGCAGUAUAG